AGGAGGUAGGGGUGGUGAUGAGGGAGAAAGCAGUGGGAUGGGAGGUGCCACAGCAGAGAACUAAUCCUUUAAAGAGACUCCAGACUGUUUAAUGCAGCAACAGGAAGAAAAUACUUUAUUAGAUUUCACCAUCGAAGCAAAACUAGAAGUAUUCCAGUUGUCUUUUAACUUUGGAAGCUAAUAUAUAAAGAAACAUAGAAGUUUUCUUUCCCCAGUGUGUGUACCUCUAUUCACCUAGACAGAG
Molecule: long non-coding RNA, 244 nt
Organism: Manacus vitellinus (golden-collared manakin)
Lineage: Eukaryota; Metazoa; Chordata; Aves; Passeriformes; Pipridae
Exons: 3
Source: RefSeq, a predicted model, not a curated record